This is a long non-coding RNA of Mustela erminea (ermine), 3611 nucleotides long. RefSeq lists it as uncharacterized. NCBI's taxonomy places the organism in Eukaryota, Metazoa, Chordata, Mammalia, Carnivora, Mustelidae. The record is from RefSeq and is a predicted model, not a curated record. The transcript is spliced from 4 exons.
CGCGCGAUCGGAGAGCCUAGCUUGCGGCCGCACGUGGAGCGCCUGCUGGCCCCGCCCCGGACCCAACCAAGCGUCCCGCGGAGGGGUGCCGCCGACUCGGGGGUGGGAGACAGCGGAGGGCACCACACCUCCCGGGUCCUGAGAAAGGAGGAGAAUGGCAGAAGGGCGCUCUGUGUGGACCACUGCGAUCUAGGCCUUUCCCCACGCGACGGAGGCGGGAGGGGACGCGGUCAGCUUCCCCCUUCUGGCCGAAUGGCCCUCUCCGACGCUCGGCCCCCGCUCCCCUUGAACGCUCCCUCCCGAGCCCAGUCGGGCUGGGCGGGGGUGGCUGUUUGGCCUGGGCUUCGUCUUACUAAUUCGGAACGACGGAGUGGAGGCCACUCAAAGAGGAGGCGAUCCCAGCGGAGGAGGCUUCGUGACUCCUAGCUUCUCCCCCUUACUCCUGUCCCGCACCCACCGGCCCACCCACCACUCGGGACGCGCCCUCGUGGGUUUUUAUACUGGAUGGAGGGGGCGCCGCCAGGAAGCCUCCCCCGCUAACUCUUGUUUCUGCAAUUGUAAAGGUAGACACAGCCUCUAUUUGCUGUGAUUGUAGCGAAUGUGACCCCUCAGAAAUUCUUUUUGUCCGCCCCCGAAGGUGGCUGGAGGGCUUGGCGGAAGGUGCCAAGGGCCGCUGGAAGUUGUUUUUAUGGCACUACGAAUCGAAUCAGAAGAUUGAGGAAGAAGAUAUUCAUUCCAUGAAUUUAUUGAGUACUUCCAAAUGCCAGGUACAGGAUUAGAUUCUGGGAUUCGAAGAAUUCUUACACUAUAGUUCCUUGAAGAAAAAACACUGGUAAUUUGGCAUGGAGCUUGAAUUAGAAGCGAAGCAUUGUGAACUUGUUCUCCAAUGGCCUCUAAUCCAGAUAGUUGGUUGUCAGGUCUGGAGAAGAAAAUGCGGGGGGAUAGCACUCGUAACUGGAUCUGGCUUUGUAGCUUUCCCUCUACCUGUACUGACCCUACAGACUUUUGAAAUAUUAAGAAGAAUGUUAAAGGGAUUUUACUAGAGCAGUUGAUCGAUCAUUGAAUUCCUUGCCAGCAAAACGUUUUGAUGAGAUACACUUGGGAACAGAGUGGUUUGAGUCGAGCAAGAGAAGAAUUGGUGACCUUGCUUCCAUUUGCUCAUGGCGCACGUCCAUGUCAAGCUUUCCUUGUGUCAUCUGGAGCUGCUCCUCCUCUGAACACCGGAAACCUCUCUGUCCACCAGAGCCUGCCCUUCGACCUCUCCCACCAGAGAUGUUGUUUGACUUUCAGUCACCAAAACCUACCCAGUUCUUCCAGUUUAUUAGCCAUUUUUGGCCUCACUUCUUUCCUUUUGAAUUAAAUGCCUAGACUCACCAUUCUGAAUUUAUUCUCCCCUGUAGUCUAUACUUCAUCUCUCCUUGACCUUCUAAUACAGCUUUGCUAACAACCCUAAUAGUCAGGAGAACUCAGUCACCCAUUCCUUGCAUUUUGUUUUAAAGUCACCAAGGAAGACCAAAGAAAAUCUAAUGACUGUGUUGAUUAGUGACAUCACUAAGACAACAUUUGAGCAGUGGAGCGCUUACAGAUGCUUGGUCAAUUUUUUAUUCAUUCCCAGUUGGCUCCCUUUCCCUUUCACCACAGUGUUCAGAUUUUUUUUUUUUUUUAAAGGAUUUGUUUAUUUAUUUGAGAAGAGGGAGAGGGAGAGAGAGUCUUAAGUAAACUCCAUGCUGAACGCAGAGCCGCAUGCAGGGCUCUAUCCCAUGACCCUGAGAUCACGACCUGAACCGAAACCAAGAGUCGGACACUUCACCAACUGCACCACAGUGAUCAGAUUUUAAUGGCUUUCUUCAAGUCUGUCAUCCCAGUCUAUAACCCUGCCACACUCAAGGCUCAACCUAGCCCAUCUCCUGGUGGGUCUGGCCACUGGUCUGAAAGGCUUAUAAGUAUUACCUCAUUGAAUCCUCACAACAGUCCUUUGAGGGAGGCACACUCAUUUUCCCUGGUUUAUGGAUGCCUAAGAUCUUAAGGAAAGUAACUGUUGGAUCUGAACUCAGGACAUCUGUCUCAAAGCUCAUACACACUCUUCCUAAACUGCUUCGCUUCUGCUGCAGAGCUGACUCUAGGCUUUUCUCCUUAGGGAUUUAGUUCCCUCCACCUCCAAAAUUCUGUGUGUCUUCCUCUGACUCCAUUCCCUCCUGACCCCUCUCAGUCAAUCCCCUACCAAAGCCCCAUAUCCCAAGCCCACUUAGCUGUUCAGGGUCUUCUCCAUCAUUUGUUUAUUCAUUUAGCAAAUGCAUAUUAAGUGCCUGUUGUAUACCAGGUCUUGGGGACAGAAGUAAACAAGGCCUAAUCUUCCAACCUGGGAGAUUAGCUAAUUAUGCAUUCUCCCUCUUAAGUAUUCAACAUCUGGCAAGCUCCUAGACCAUUCUUUGCAUUGAAAGAAAAUCACUGGACAUUUCACACUACAUCUAGCAUUGACCCUGACAGGUGCAUUGCUGACAGAGGGAUGAAUGAUUUCAGGUAAAGUAUAUUAGUUUGGAGGUUUGUCCUUAGUCCUCUUUCUGAAAAGUAGCCCACUUUAGGUGGGCCUCCAGCUCAUACCUUUUUGUCCACAGUUCUGAGAAGGUUUGGAAAACUAACCGUUUGCCAUUACUGACUGACUAGUUGCACUUUAGGUGAAAUAUAGUCCCAACAAAGGGACCUCAAACUGGUUCUUGUGGCUUAAGCCUUGUAAUCUAUGACUGAAAAGAAAGAUACAAUCUUAUUAAAAGAAUUUCAGCAUUUGCAAGGGGGGAGAUAGAUAUUUGUGAGACAAGACACUUUUUAAACUUGCAUUUUGCCACUUUUAACCUAGUGGUUCUCAACUGGAGGGUGAUUUUGUCCCCAAAGAACAUUUGGCAGUGUCUGGAGAUGUGCUUGGUUGUCGGAACUCGGGGUUGGGAGGAGUGUCUAGUGGACAGAGGUUACAGAUGCUACUAAGCAUCCAAUAAUGCAGGGCACCUCACAACAGAAUUAUUGCCCCUGGUUGAGAACCAUGGAUCUAACAGGUGAACUCAACUAGAGCAUUUAGCUACCCUGUAAGUUGGGUUUGAGGGACAGGUGCCUUUGGGGGUGCUGGCUGAGCCUGCUGAAGGUCUGUUGAAGAGUUACUAGAGGGGAAGAAUCAUUUGGGACCUACAGAGUAAGGUAUUUGGGCCGAGUUUCUCCAUCUCCUCUCCCUAACUCUACCUGGAUCUUGGUCUUAGCCCCAAGACACCUGAUACACAUUUUAUUUCUUCUUGUAUCACCUAUUUAGUGUGUGAUGACUUCGAAGGGGGAUAAUCCCUGUGUCUGACAAAGCAAUUUUUUUUUUUUAACGCAAGUAUAAUUUCUACCUCUGGCUAUAAAAUUUCUAAUGUGGCCAGAACACUAUUCUGUUUGCCAACAGAGGCAUAGUAAGAUUGAUAUCAAUCCAAAUUAAAUGAUAGGUCAAAGAAGAAAAAAGCUGGAAACAUUCUUUUCACUUCUAUCAGUGAAGAAUCAACUUUUGAACUAAAUUAGUGUUAAAGGCCUUUUAAUAAAAUUUAUAAUUUAACAGACCUGACCAGUUAUUCACACUUAGAGUGAAUAAU